This 26-nucleotide non-coding RNA is filed under the name Bombyx mori (domestic silkworm). Lineage: Eukaryota; Metazoa; Arthropoda; Insecta; Lepidoptera; Bombycidae. The record is from RNAcentral.
GAGACUCUGAUGGCCGAUAUAUCGCG